RNAcentral lists this ribosomal RNA (510 nucleotides) under uncultured bacterium. RNAcentral's name for it is "partial 16S ribosomal RNA". The record is from RNAcentral.
GGAGUUAGCCGGUGCUUCUUCUGCGAGUAACGUCACAGAUGUAAGGUAUUAACUUACACCCUUUCCUCCUCGCUGAAAGUGCUUUACAACCCGAAGGCCUUCUUCACACACGCGGCAUGGCUGCAUCAGGGUUUCCCCCAUUGUGCAAUAUUCCCCACUGCUGCCUCCCGUAGGAGUCUGGGCCGUGUCUCAGUCCCAGUGUGGCUGAUCAUCCUCUCAGACCAGCUAGGGAUCGUCGCCUAGGUGAGCCUUUACCUCACCUACUAGCUAAUCCCACCUGGGCUUAUCCAUCAGCGCAAGGCCCGAAGGUCCCCUGCUUUCCCCCGUAGGGCCGUAUGCGGUAUUAGCAGUCGUUUCCAACUGUUAUCCCCACAAAUGGGCAAAUUCCCAGGCAUUACUCACCCGUCCGCCGCUCGUCAUCUUCAAAGCAAGCUUUUGAAAUGUUACCGCUCGACUUGCAUGUGUUAGGCCUGCCGCCAGCGUUCAAUCUGAGCCAGGAUCAAACUCUGA